UCCUCUUUUCUUUAGCCGCCUCCAUCCCCAAUUUUCCCUCUUUCUCUCUAACAGUCAAAAACUCAAAAACACAACUCCAAUCCUCUCUAUAAUUUUUUGUUCUCUCUAUAUCUCUUCACCGCAUGCUUGGACCUUGUCAAUAUCAAAAUCAAAUUUAGAUCUCUUUAUUUCUCUCCUAUCCCUCAGAUCUGAAAAUUUUCGUUUCCUUUUUCUGAUUUUGCCCUCUGAAAUUCCGGCCGAAAUGAACGAACUAUUAGCCUCCGAUUUCGGCUUCAAACCCCAAGGCAAAUCGGCUCCGAUGGCCGGUUCCAAAUCCACCUCCACCGUCGGAAGAUCGUCAACGCGUCCUCACUCCUCCUUCAAUUCCUUCAAGGAUCAUCGUCGGACGCCACCACCACCACGACUUCUUCCUCCUUCAAUUUCGAUAUGUUUCGCAAUUUCGGUGCUCCGGUGAAGUCUUCGUCUUCAUCAUUUUGCCUUUUUGGAUAGCUCCAAUUUAUUUGGCAUCAUGCAUAAAGCAGGGAAUGGAUUUGCUAGAGAUUUUAUUGAGCAAGCAACCUGUUCAAUUGAGCAGCUUGAGUAUUUAUUGUAUCCACAUCACCCCUCCUAAGUCCCCUGAUCUUACAGGACCAACACUAGUGCUUAGGUGUGAACCUUCAAUGAUCCAGAAUGCUCUUAAGGUCCAACAUGAUUUUGAUCAUCACCUCAGUAUCAGCAUGUUGCAACUGUUAAUGCACAUGUGGGAGUAAGUGCUAGGUCCGUGUUUGUGUGUGUGUGCUUGGUGUUUGAAAAGUGUGUAGAUUAAAGUAUUGUAGACAAAAACCAGUGUGUAUGCGUGUGUGUGUGUAGCAAAGAGUCACAACAGAAUGCAUGUGUGUGAAGCAAAGAGUCACAACAGAAUGAAUGUGUGUGUGUGUGAGGGAGAGGGUUUAGAGUUUAUUGCUAGUGGGACUCUCUCUCUCUCUCUCGUAAUGAUUUUGAAAUAUUUUUCUAAAUAAUUCUUUGAUUAUGCUGGGAAAAUACAGACUGCUGCCAUUUCCUUUUUUUGUCCGGAUGAUGUAACUUUGUCACGUGGUGUACAAACUUAGUUCACAUUCUUUGGCUUAGCUGGGCUGAAGCAAUUUUUAAAUAUAGUCACUGUUUAAGCUUAUAAUAUAUAUAUAUAUAUAUAUAUAUUUAUAUAUGUUGAAAAGGUCUACAUCGUGGGUCCACAUGGCAGUGGAGCCCUCUUAUUUUGAUAGAAUAAUCAAGAUAAUAAUAGGAAAAAGGUAUAUGAAUUUGAUGAUGGCACAUGAUAGGGGCUCAGAAUUUGGCUUUUGUCUGACACAAUUUAAUCUUCUUGUAGACAUUAUUUUCCUUUUCAUGAAACAAAUACGCAUGUGCUGGUCCAGUUUAUUUUCCUUUUAGAUCUGUGUCAUUCUUUAUUACUAGGAUGGAACCUUAAUUCAAAUAUUGUUGUGUUAUUGUUAGUAUUAUCAUUUCAUUUCUAAUAAAUUUAAAUGUUCUGUUGUAAUGACGAAUAAUUUACCAUUAGGGAUGUGAAUGGCUAUGCUGAAGCUAAUGCUUGAAGAAGGAUUUCUUUAGAUAAACAAGAGGUUGUUCAACACAGUUAUUCUUGUGCACCUGAGAGGUCAUUCUUGUAUCAUGGCCGUAUGUAUGUCUCUGCGUGACACAUUUGCUUCCAUUCAAAUAUUUUUUCUAAGCAAAUGAAGGUUAGCCUGUCAUUCUUUUUUCCUAAGGUUGAGCCAAUAUUAUUGUUAGCAAGCAAGUUUGAGACAAUAUUAUAUGGGUGUAUUAUUUCUUUUGAGGAUCUCUGGAGAGCAUCAUUGGUAUGAAUUACUUUUAGGAGGAGCUCUGAUCCUAAAUCACCCAUUCACUUUCAACGUAGUCAUCUCACAUAUAAAGGUGCAAGAAGAACAUCAGAUGGCCUUUUAUGUUUCUUUACAUUAGAAAGCUGCUGGUUUAGUUAAAUUUAUGAGUGAAUGGCUUCUUUUGUAGAUUACUGAAAUAGGCUGGAGUCAUCCACAAGGUCUUAUUAUGAGCUUUUUUAAGUUAUUGGUGUUUGAGGAUUUUUUGUGUACAAAGAAAUACAUUUGAACAACCGCAUUUUUUGCCAUUGUUGGAGGAUAUUUUUAAACA
Molecule: long non-coding RNA, 2139 nt
Organism: Quercus lobata
Lineage: Eukaryota; Viridiplantae; Streptophyta; Magnoliopsida; Fagales; Fagaceae
Exons: 4
Source: RefSeq, a predicted model, not a curated record